CCUCCACAGUCUCCCUCAACUUCGUAGCCAUAAAACCCCUCACUACAAUCAUAGUCUCCCAUGUUGUAGUCACAAUAAUCCCCGUCUAUCGAAGACAUGUUCCCCUUAUAUCACCUUUGUACCUACACAAUGAACAAACAAGAUUAGUAGUAAAAGCUCCUCACCAACACUCGUAUACACCCACCUUUGUGAUUCUCACAAUUGGAGCGACAAAUAUUAAAAGUUGCUU
RNAcentral lists this long non-coding RNA (229 nucleotides) under Capsicum annuum. RNAcentral describes it as "long non-coding RNA (CANN_LNC022600)". The record is from RNAcentral. Lineage: Eukaryota; Viridiplantae; Streptophyta; Magnoliopsida; Solanales; Solanaceae.